RNAcentral lists this ribosomal RNA (492 nucleotides) under uncultured bacterium. Its description in RNAcentral is "partial 16S ribosomal RNA". It matches the Rfam family "Bacterial small subunit ribosomal RNA", at positions 29 to 507 of the family's 1533-position model. The record is from RNAcentral.
AGUGAACGCUGGCGGUAGGCCUAACACAUGCAAGUCGAACGGCAGCACAGUAAGAGCUUGCUCUUACGGGUGGCGAGUGGCGGACGGGUGAGGAAUACAUCGGAAUCUACUUUUUCGUGGGGGAUAACGUAGGGAAACUUACGCUAAGACCGCAUACGACCUACGGGUGAAAGCAGGGGAUCUUCGGACCUUGCGCGAUUGAAUGAGCCGAUGUCGGAUUAGCUAGUUGGCUGGGUAAAGGCCCAGCAAGGCGACGAUCCGUGGCUGGACUGUGAGGAUGGUCGGCCACACUGGAACUGAGACACGGUCCAGACUCCUACGGGAGGCAGCAGUGGGGAAUAUUGGACAAUGGGCGCAAGCCUGAUCCAGCCAUACCGCGUGGGUGAAGAAGGCCUUCGGGUUGUAAAGACCUUUUGUUGGGAAAGAAAAGCAGCAGGUUAAUACCCCGCUGUUCUGACGGUACCCAAAGAAUAAGCACCGGCUAACUUCGUG